Non-coding RNA from Schistosoma haematobium, 45 nucleotides. The record is from Rfam. Lineage: Eukaryota; Metazoa; Platyhelminthes; Trematoda; Strigeidida; Schistosomatidae.
AUCCAGCUGAUGAGUCCCAAAUGGAACGAAACGUAAGUCCUCGAU